Molecule: ribosomal RNA, 602 nt
Filed under: uncultured bacterium
Lineage: Bacteria
Description: bacterial SSU rRNA
Rfam family: Bacterial small subunit ribosomal RNA
Source: RNAcentral
GAGAACGGUUUCCCGGUAGCAAUACUGGGAGACCAAGUAAAGUGGCGAACGGGUGAGUAACACGUAGCUAACCUGCCCUUCAGUGGGGGAUAACCCUGCGAAAGUGGAGCUAAUACCGCAUACAGUCCCCGGGACAUAGGUUCUGGGGAGCAAAGCCGGUAACGGUGCUGAAGGAGGGGGCUGCGGCCGAUUAGCUAGUUGGUAGGGUAACGGCCUACCAAGGCUCCGAUCGGUAGCCGGCCUGAGAGGGCGCACGGUCACACUGGGACUGAAACACGGUCCAGACUCCUACGGGAGGCAGCAGUGGGGAAUUUUGCACAAUGCCCGAAAGGGUGAUGCAGCAACGCCGCGUGGAGGAUGAAGGUCCUCGGAUCGUAAACUCCUUUCGACCCGGAAGAAGGCCCGGUGAUGAGCCGGGAUUGACGGUACGGGUGGAAGAAGCCCCGGCCAACUACGUGCCAGCAGCCGCGGUAAUACGUAGGGGGCAAGCGUUGUUCGGAAUUACUGGGCGUAAAGGGCGCGUAGGCGGCCCGACAAGUCUCGUGUGAAAUCUCCCCGCUUAACGGGGAGGGGUCGCGAGAAACGGUCAGGCUAGAGUGCGG